This 4915-nucleotide long non-coding RNA is filed under the name Marmota monax (woodchuck). The stretch from base 4582 to 4649 matches the Rfam family "Selenocysteine insertion sequence 1". Lineage: Eukaryota; Metazoa; Chordata; Mammalia; Rodentia; Sciuridae. The record is from RNAcentral.
GCAUCCCCCCGCUCCCUGCAUUGGUUCGCGCCGCGGAGCGCGAAGAACCAGCCGUGUGCGCGGUGCCCGAGACACAGCGGUAGCGAGUCCGCGGAGCACGGUUGGGUCGGAGGGUCCGCUGUGCGGCGGCUGCUGCGUCGCGAUCAUGGCUCUCAAAGUCCGAGUCGUUUACUGGUAAGCGCGGAGGCCAGGGGCCUCUCCCUACCGCGAUUUCCGUGCGCUCGGAGCCGGGAUGGGGCGUCGGGGGCUGGAUCUCAGGCACCCGGGAGGAGAAAAGCGGCUGGGUGGGGCCAGGAGGGGUGAGGGCCGCGGGGAGUUGAACCCCCGUUUGGGACGAGCGGGACGUCUCGGGUUGUGAAGGGUCCAGCGGAGACAUGUGUGUGGCCGCUGCAGACGCCGAGGGGCUUGGCCGCGGGUCGGGUGGAUCUGUGCACUCCUGGGACCGACCCCUCGGCUAUGCUCCGAUUGCCCCCCCCGCCCGCGAACAGCCCCUGGGUCAGGACGGCCUCCUGAACCUUCCUGGGUUUAGAAAAGACGCAAAUGACAACCUUCGCCCGGUGCCCGUGGGUGCCCGUGCUGCCAACCCCACUCUUCUCGGGCCACAGUUCCCCCCUCGGUAGUGAGAAGAGGGCGAACUUAGUAGCUCCUGCCCAGGGAGCGCUGCACGCCAGCCCCGACUGCCUUGAACAUAUUUCCUCUGCUCAGAGGAUCUCCCUGGCACCUCAUUCUAUGCUAGCAUGCAGUAGGUGCUUAAUAAAUACCGGUUCAAUGAAUUUACUGCCCCCUGAGCCUUUUGAGGGAGGGGAAUGCAGUAGGUCGAGGUCCUGGCUCAGAUGGGGGCCACUCCAACCUGGGUGGCUGGCCCAAUUGUCUGGGACAUGCACCCGGGAUCCAGUGGGUCUCAAUUUUGGGAAUGCCAUGGCCUGUUAGAAGCACAGCUCGCUUGACAUUUUGAGUUCCCAGGAGGCCUGUGCACCAGAUUCCAGCGGGAAAUGGCAUCUUGGGUGUUGAAGGUGUUCAGGUUCCAGGAGCUACAGGGCUUCCUUCAGUGUUCUAGGCGUGGGCCCAGCCGAGAUUGCAUGUUGUUUAUGCGGCUCUUGUUCUAACCCAGUGCCCUCCGUUUUCUUCCCUGUUGCCUUCCCCGCCUCAUGUGGCCACAUAAUUGUGAUCUGGUCACCCCGAGGCGGCCUCCCUCUCCCCCUUUGCCCGGCUUGGCUCUUUUCUCUGCUGUUUCUAUUACACUCUGGUGUCCGUGUGUCUUUCUUCCCUUCUCUGCCUCUUCUGCUUGGUCAUUUCUGCCCAUCUUAUUCUCUUCUCUUCCUGGUCCCCUUUGUCCUGCCAUUACUGCCUGGCUUUCCCUGUGUCCCCACCUGUCUGCCUGUCCUGGAACUCCUCACUUGGACUCACCUACCAGUGGCGCUUGAGGCUACAAGCCUAAGGUAAGCCGGGUGCCCUCAGGAGCACCCUGAGUCGGGGGAGUGCAUCUGGGGGGCUGGCUGGGCACUGCUCUGAUCUCCUCCCCCUUUUCAGUAUCUCCAGCUCAAGAAGAAGCUAGAAGAUGAGUUCCCCGGAUGCCUGGACAUUGUGAGUCUCGGGGAUGUGGACGUGGAGCCAGUCGGGCCCCUCGUCUGUCUGAGGGUCUGGUGGUGGUGGAGGUGGCUUAGCCCCACAGCCUUUACCCUCACCCCACACUUCCUGGGAAGGGGAAGCGUUUCCAAGAGGGCAUCCCAGCGCCAAUCUGUCCUCCCUGCUUAGUGCGGCGAGGGGACUCCCCAGGUCACCGGGUUCUUUGAAGUGAUGGUAGCCGGGAAGCUGGUUCACUCCAAGAAGGUAUAUCUCUGUGUGUGUCUUGUUUGGGGGUCAAGUAGGACUGGGGCGGAGGCUGGUGUGUGGGUCCAAGCUUGACCCUUUCUCUCUUUCCCCUCCCCAGAGAGGUGAUGGCUAUGUGGACACGGAGAGCAAGUUUCUGAAGCUGGUGGCUGCCAUCAAAGCCGCCUUGGCUCAGGGCUAGAGUGCCCUGAAGGCAGAGGUGAGGGGCCCAGGCAGGCGCUGACCUGGGACCAGUCUGGGAGAUGGGGGCAUCCAGGUGUCCCCGGGGCAGGAGGAGUGGAAACAAGGUCUGGGUGGUGCAGGAUGACUCCUGAGCUGGCAGUAAGCUGAGGGCUGCCCUCAGCAGCUCUCCUGGCUUUGGAAUAGAAGGUACUAAAGAGACACUCUGGAUUUUGUCCCUUUGCCAGGAAACAGUGACUAUCUGUGACUGUCAGCCCAGGUUACAGGCACAUUUGGAAACACAGCUCCUGUGCUCAGUAUUUUCAACCUGAUCACCAGUUAUCAGACACUGAACUUGAGACUUUUCCAGAGUGGGCCCACAAACACUUUAAGAAACUAACUGACAAAGAAUGUUCAAGAAACUGACACUAACUCUAGAACUGAUCACCUGCCCCAGAAGGGACUCCCUUCUUCCCCAGAGCAAUGUAGAAUCAAAUUCAGAACCAGCUGUCAGCAUACCCUGAACCCAGGCACCCCUUCCCACACCUGCACGGAACUGUGCAGACCAGCUCCCAAACUGCAGAACUGAUAUCUAGUUCCCUAUGUCCUCUGAGCCAGGUAGUUCCUUCCAGCCCAGCGCGUUCUAGAACACAUAGCCAUUUCCAUAACCCUCUGGAACAUGGACUGCUUUCCAGAGCCCUCUUGAGUUUGGUUUCAGUUUCCUCAAGUACAUUCCAGAUGAGUUCCAAACCCCUUCUCAUCUAGGACUGGGCACUACUCACCCGCGCAGACCAGGGCUAAGUUCUGGUUUUGGGGACAGUCCUUCCUUGACCCGCCUAUACUAGAGAUUGAGCUCAGGGCUGCUUUACCACAGAGCUUCAGCCUCAGCCUUUGAUUUCAAGACAGGGUCUGGCCAAGUUGCCAAGCCUGGCCUUGAACCUGCGAUCCUUCCCCCAAGUCACAGGGAUUGCGGGUGUGCACCACCUUCCUGCUCCAGAGCAGUGAGGCCACUCUGAAUUUGGACAUGCAGAUCUAAAGUAGUGACUACAGAAGGACAGUGGCAUCCUCCCUCCUGUGUGGGUCUGACAUGAAGCACCCCCACCCCCAAAUUGGAAACGAAUUUCUUGGUUCCACAGUGGCUGAGGGACGGUGGGUGGUGCCACGCAGUGGGAUUUGACUUGAACUCUGUGGAGUGAGCAGCUCUGUCUAAACCCCCCUCCAGUCAGUACUGGCAGAGGCUCCCUUGGAUUCCAGGGGGUGAGUCAAUAGAUGACGUCAUCUCCCAUAAAGGAAAGUGGGUUUGCAUAAGGAAGAAAUGGGGGGGAGACAAGUCUGUGAAGAGUGACUGUUUUUGUUUGUUUUGGUGCUUGGGGGUGGAACCCAGGGCCUGCCACCUGCUGAGCACAUGCCCUGCCCCAGGGCCACUGCCUGCCCCUGUUUGGUAGUGCUGUGGCUCUAGUUUUCAGGACCCUUGGAAGGAUUCAGAAGAACUCCAGCAGCUGUUCUGCAUGGUUCCAGGUUACCUAGGGGGGGGCAGAGGGUAGGGGUCACCAGGCAGGAGCUUGUGCCCUGUCCCCCAGACAGAUGCAGGCUGAUUGUGCCAGCUGCCAUGUUGACGAGAGGGGUGAAAACACUCCCCAGUUCUUGCGCUGGAGGGGCUCGCUGGCACCAUCGCGUCCCAGAUUUUUACUGGGGACUGGGCAUACACAGGGCUGGCCUUGUCUCCAGGCCCUCCAGAAUUUAAGCUGAGGCCACACUCCCAGAGCCCGCGACAGCAGCAGUGUUAGCACAGGUGGCUGUGGUUGAGGCAGAGUGAACCAGGGUGCCAGGCAGGCCAUCCCGAGGACUUCGGUACUUCCUCCCAGGAGCCAGGCUCUUGGGGCAAGGUGGUUCCUGCUGCACGUGGUGUGGCCGUCAGCUGGUGAAGAGCAGUAAAGUCUGUCAGGGUGGCACUGGCCUGUGAUCCCAGCGAGACUGAGGCAAGAGGGUUGCAUGUUCGAGGCCCGCCUCAGCAACUUGGCAAGAUCUUGUUUGAAAAUAAAAAAUGAGAAAAAGAAGGGCAGGGGGUGCGGGGAUAGGAGUUGGCUCAGUGGUAGAGUGCCCCUGGGUGCAAUCCCCAGGACCAAAGCAAAACUCCCCCUGAAUCUGUGUGUUAACCAGGUGGUGCACACCCGCAAUCCCAGCAAUUCAGGAGGCUGAGGCAGGAGAACCACAAGUUCGAGGCCAGCCUCAGCAAUGUGGCAAGACCCCUGUCUCAAAGACUAAAAGGGGCUGGGGAUGUGGCUCAGUGGUAAAGCACUCCUGGGUCCAUUUCCCAGUAUCAAGAAACAACCCCACGUGUGAGUUGCGGUGGGCUCUGGAGACGGGGUUUGGCUCUGGGCCACCAGGCUUUCUGUAGGCCAGCAGGUGGCUGCCCAUCACCUCUCUGCAGGCUCAGUGAGAGCUGGCCCUCAGCGGGUCCCUCCCUGUGCACCCUGUUUCCCUGGGCCUGCAGCUCUGUGUACCCUUGUCACACUGACCUGGGCCCAACCUGCUCCCCCCUCCCCCUCUUCUCUCCACAGUCCAGGGACCUUGGCCCAGGCCCGCUCAGCAGACGCUCUAUGACAGGAAGGACUGAAAUGUCUCCGGGACGCCUGGUCUUUUCUCGAUGUCCUUGCAGCCUCUGGGUCGGGGCUGAGUCGACGUCCCUGGUCUUUGCCUCUGCGUGGGGUGAGGUGUUUCCUCCAGAAGCCACGCCCACACAGGUGGUCUCAAGCCUGUCAUGGGGUCACCAAGAGAGCCCACACUUCCCUGCCCCCGCAUUGCCCUGCACCCCCCACCUCCCCUCUGUUCCUGGAGGAGGCCUGUCCCUCGCCUUCCUCAAGGGAAGCUGGGGGGCCGGGUGGGUGCAGCCGUUCCCAGGCCAAUAAACAGUGGGUGAAUCCAA